This 492-nucleotide ribosomal RNA is filed under the name uncultured bacterium. RNAcentral's name for it is "partial 16S ribosomal RNA". It matches the Rfam family "Bacterial small subunit ribosomal RNA", at positions 29 to 507 of the family's 1533-position model. The record is from RNAcentral.
AGUGAACGCUGGCGGUAGGCCUAACACAUGCAAGUCGAACGGCAGCACAGUAAGAGCUUGCUCUUACGGGUGGCGAGUGGCGGACGGGUGAGGAAUACAUCGGAAUCUACUUUUUCGUGGGGGCUAACGUAGGGAAACUUACGCUAAUACCGCAUACGACCUACGGGUGAAAGCAGGGGAUCUUCGGACCUUGCGCGAGUGAAUGAGCCGAUGUCGGAUUAGCUAGUUGGCGGGGUAAAGGCCCACCAAGGCGACGAUCCGUAGCUGGUCUGAGAGGAUGAUCAGCCACACUGGAACUGAGACACGGUCCAGACUCCUACGGGAGGCAGCAGUGGGGAAUAUUGGACAAUGGGCGCAAGCCUGAUCCAGCCAUACCGCGUGGGUGAAGAAGGCCUUCGGGUUGUAAAGCCCUUUUGUUGGGAAAGAAAAGCAGCAGGUUAAUACCCCGCUGUUCUGACGGUACCCAAAGAAUAAGCACCGGCUAACUUCGUG